CACGGGGGGAGCAAGCGUUGUUCGGAAUCACUGGGCGUAAAGGGCGUGUAGGCGGUCAGAUAAGUGGAAUGUGAAAUGCCCCGGCUCACCCGGGGACCGGCAUCCCAAACUGUCUGGCUUGAGUAUGGGAGAGGAUGAGGGAAUUCCUGGUGUAGCGGUGAAAUGCGUAGAUAUCAGGAGGAACACCGGUGGCGAAGGCGCUCAUCUGGCCCAAUACUGACGCUGAUGCGCGAAAGCGUGGGGAGCGAACAGG
Molecule: ribosomal RNA, 253 nt
Filed under: uncultured bacterium
Lineage: Bacteria
Description: partial 16S ribosomal RNA
Rfam family: Bacterial small subunit ribosomal RNA
Source: RNAcentral